UACGUAGGGAGCAGGCGUUGUCCGGAAUUAUUGGGCGUAAAGCGCGUGUAGGCGGUCCGGUAAGUCGGUUGUGAAAGUCCAGGGCUCAACCCUGGGAUGCCGACCGAUACUGUCGGACUAGAGUUCGGAAGAGGCGAGUGGAAUUCCCGGUGUAGCGGUGAAAUGCGCAGAUAUCGGGAGGAACACCAAUGGCGAAGGCAGCUCGCUGGGACGUUACUGACGCUGAGACGCGAAAGCGUGGGGAGCAAACAGG
This 253-nucleotide ribosomal RNA is filed under the name uncultured bacterium. RNAcentral's name for it is "partial 16S ribosomal RNA". It matches the Rfam family "Bacterial small subunit ribosomal RNA", at positions 524 to 776 of the family's 1533-position model. The record is from RNAcentral.